ACGUUAAAACACCGGUUUCCAUACGAUCACCGAAGUUAAGCAAUGCCAAGCCUGAUCAUUACCUACAAGGGUGACUGCUUGGGAAUACCAGGUUCUGUAA
Molecule: non-coding RNA, 100 nt
Organism: Acanthosepion pharaonis
Lineage: Eukaryota; Metazoa; Mollusca; Cephalopoda; Sepiida; Sepiidae
Source: the annotation of a GenBank genome assembly